CCCUGAGUCCCAGGGGCUACUCAGCAGGCAGUAGGAUCACCUGAACUGGGAGUUCUGGGCUGCAGUGUGCUAUGCCAACUGGGUGUCCCACUAGGUUCGGAUCAAAUGGUGACAUCGGCGGAGCAGGACCACCAUGUUGCCUAAGGAGGUGAACCAGCUCAGGUGGAAACAGGGCAGGUCAAAACUCCCAUGCUGAUCAUUAGUGGGAUCACGCCUAUGAGUGGCCACUGCACUCCAGCCUGGGAACAUAGUGGAA
Molecule: small RNA, 256 nt
Filed under: Cercocebus atys (sooty mangabey)
Lineage: Eukaryota; Metazoa; Chordata; Mammalia; Primates; Cercopithecidae
Description: Metazoan signal recognition particle RNA (ENSCATG00000003500.1)
Rfam family: Metazoan signal recognition particle RNA (bases 46-243)
About the family: The signal recognition particle (SRP) is a universally conserved ribonucleoprotein.
Source: RNAcentral